This is a long non-coding RNA of Chelonia mydas (Green sea turtle), 877 nucleotides long. RefSeq lists it as uncharacterized. Lineage: Eukaryota; Metazoa; Chordata; Testudines; Cheloniidae. The record is from RefSeq and is a predicted model, not a curated record. The transcript has 3 exons.
CAGUGCCAAUCUAUAAAAAGGGAAAUAAGGACAAACUGGGGAAUUACAAACCAGUCAGCUUAACUUCUGUACCCGGAAAGACAAUGGAGCAAAUCAUUAAGCAAUUACUUUGCAAACACCUCGAAGAUAAUAAAGUGCUGAUCCUGUUUGGUGCUUGAGCAGCCAGGGCCAGGCUGGUUCUCCACGGUCUCUCCUGCUUCGCCGGCCCAGCGUCUGGAACCCGGUCGGACCGGUCCCUGCGACGUCCCCAGGCUUGUUCCUCGCUGCGUUAAUUAGCCAAGCGACUCCAGUUCCUGGAGGAAGCCUCGUUUCACCGCCGGGCCGGGCCCAGGGCAGGAUCAUCAUCAGCCAGCCCCUAACGAUGCCCGCCAGGCGGCCGAGGUUGGCUCGGGCGUGUCAUGCGCGUUGCAGGCAUCCGGGGUGUCUCUCCUCGUGGCUUGGGACGCGGCUGCAAUCCUCCCAGCCCGAGUUCGCCUGGUUCCAACUCCCGGCCCUCGGCCCGGUGGGACCUGCCUCUGCCAGUCUGAGGAGCCCGUUGUGAACAUUCGCUCCCCACGCCGGCACUCGCAGCCCGGGGUCAGUCACCCCUUCGCCGUGCAGCUGAGCUCCUGGAGUCUCUCACUCGAAGGCAGGUUUUGAAUCCUUCUCGCGGCUCUUCUCUGACCCCUCUCCGAUGUAAUCGCCCCCCUGCGGGUCGCAGCAGGGCCCGAUCCAGUGAUAAUGUCACCUCUCUGCCCGACGCGAGACUCCCGCUGACGCAGCCCAGGGUCGCAUUCGCCCCUUUGCUCACAGUGUCGCGCCGGGAGCUCACCUUCCGCUGAUUACCCACCACGCGCCCCCCAAAUCUGCUUCAGAGUCGCCGCGCCCCCGGAGAGAC